GACGAACGCUGGCGGCGUGCUUAACACAUGCAAGUCGAACGAAGAGCGAUGGAAGCUUGCUUCUAUCAAUCUUAGUGGCGAACGGGUGAGUAACGCGUAAUCAACCUGCCCUUCAGAGGGGGACAACAGUUGGAAACGACUGCUAAUACCGCAUACGAUCUAAUCUCGGCAUCGAGGAUAGAUGAAAGGUGGCCUCUACAUGUAAGCUAUCACUGAAGGAGGGGAUUGCGUCUGAUUAGCUAGUUGGAGGGGUAACGGCCCACCAAGGCGAUGAUCAGUAGCCGGUCUGAGAGGAUGAACGGCCACAUUGGGACUGAGACACGGCCCAGACUCCUACGGGAGGCAGCAGUGGGGAAUCUUCCGCAAUGGACGAAAGUCUGACGGAGCAACGCCGCGUGAGUGAUGACGGCCUUCGGGUUGUAAAGCUCUGUUAAUCGGGACGAAAGGCCUUCUUGCGAAUAGUUAGAAGGAUGACG
RNAcentral lists this ribosomal RNA (476 nucleotides) under uncultured bacterium. RNAcentral's name for it is "bacterial SSU rRNA". It matches the Rfam family "Bacterial small subunit ribosomal RNA", at positions 28 to 474 of the family's 1533-position model. The record is from RNAcentral.